GACGAACGCUGGCGGCGUGCUUAACACAUGCAAGUCGAACGGAAACGCCCUGCGUGUUUGCUCUUCUCGGUUGCCGAUCGCGUAAGUAACACGUGUGUAACCUGCCCUUGACUUUGGUAUAACUUCACGUAACUGGAGCUAAGACCGUAUAGGAUCUCCUGCUGCAUUGUGGGCGUUGGAUAUUUUCGGCGGUUGGGGUUGGACUCGCGGCUUAUCAGCUUGCUGGUUGGCUAGUGGCUUACCAAGGCUUUGACGGGUAGCCGGCCUGAGAGGGUGAACGGCGACAUUGGGACUGCGAGACGGCGCAGACUGGUAUGGGAGGCAGUAGUGGGGAAUAUUGCACAGUGGGAGGAAGCCUGAUGAAGCAACGCCGCGUGCGGGAUGACGGCCUUCGGGUUGUAAAAAGCAUUCGCCUGUGACGAAGCGUGAGUGACGGUAAUGGGUAAAGAAGCACCGGCUAACUACGUG
Molecule: ribosomal RNA, 468 nt
Filed under: uncultured bacterium
Lineage: Bacteria
Description: partial 16S ribosomal RNA
Rfam family: Bacterial small subunit ribosomal RNA
Source: RNAcentral